CAAAUAGCCCUAAGUUCUAGUUUCGUAAUGCGUGUUGACAAAAUUCAUACUUAAAUCUGAAAAUUGUUCAGUCUUACUAUGUCUUUUUCCUGUAAAGUAUCCAAUAUUAAACCCUUCAAAUGUUUGCAGCUCAUUCCAAGAGUUAUUUGCAGAGGAAGCGGUAUUCACAGUUCAGCUAAUCAUGUUUUACGAAGACAGAAGUUUGAUCCAGUAAAAUUCUGCAAAAGAAAUGCAUCAACACAGAGUAGUAGUGUAUUGGAAACAGUAAAUUACCUGAUAUGGACCCCUGUUUAUCAACCAAUUAGUGUAUUGUUGAGCUGUGCUGCAUACAUUAUUUAUUUCUAUUAUCUUAAAGAAGACCUUUCAAAUGUUGAAUCUAAUUUCAGAAAGAUAAUCUAUGAACAAAUUGAUCCAGGAAAUGAAGAGUAUCAGGAAGAAAUUCAUUUACGGAAUUAUAUAAGAUUACGUAUCUAUAACAACCUCCCAACAGAUGAUUAUGAGAAAAGAUUAACACAGCUUGUGAGGGAAAGGAAAGCCAAACAAAAUAAAAGAUUUGAAAGCCAAGGAAUUGGGUCAAUGGAAUGAAAAUAUGAUAUAAUGACUUUCUGACCAAUCUUUUUCUUUACCAUUUUGUAGUACAAAUGUAUUUUGGUAAUUUCAGCAUGAACAUGAUAAAUGUGACAAUUGUUAGUACUAUAGAUGUACUGUAAUUUUUAUGUAAAAUAUAAAUAUUUGAAAGAAAAUGAA
Long non-coding RNA from Mytilus californianus (California mussel), 747 nucleotides. RefSeq lists it as uncharacterized. NCBI's taxonomy places the organism in Eukaryota, Metazoa, Mollusca, Bivalvia, Mytilida, Mytilidae. The transcript is spliced from 2 exons. The record is from RefSeq and is a predicted model, not a curated record.